RNAcentral lists this ribosomal RNA (409 nucleotides) under uncultured bacterium. RNAcentral describes it as "bacterial SSU rRNA". It matches the Rfam family "Bacterial small subunit ribosomal RNA", at positions 29 to 486 of the family's 1533-position model. The record is from RNAcentral.
AACGAACGCUGGCGGCAGGCCUAACACAUGCAAGUCGAGCGCUCACUUCGGUGGGAGCGGCGGACGGGUUAGUAACGCGUGGGAACGUGCCCAGAUCUGCGGAAUAGCCACUGGAAACGGUGAGUAAUACCGCAUACGCCCUUCGGGGAAGAUUUAUCGGAUUUGGAUCGGCCCGCGUUAGAUUAGGUAGUUGGUGAGGUAACGGCUCACCAAGCCUACGAUCUAUAGCUGGUUUUAGAGGAUGAUCAGCAACACUGGGACUGAGACACGGCCCAGACUCCUACGGGAGCAGCAGUGGGGAAUCUUGGACAAUGGGCGCAAGCCUGAUCCAGCCAUGCCGCGUGAGUGAUGAAAGGCCUUAGGGUCGUAAGCUCUUUCGCCUGUGAUGAUAAUGACAGUAGCAGGUAAA